This 403-nucleotide ribosomal RNA is filed under the name uncultured bacterium. Its description in RNAcentral is "partial 16S ribosomal RNA". It matches the Rfam family "Bacterial small subunit ribosomal RNA", at positions 30 to 526 of the family's 1533-position model. The record is from RNAcentral.
AUUGAACGCUGGCGGCAGGCCUAACACAUGCAAGUCGAGCGAGCGGCGGACGGGUGAGUAAUGUAUGGGGACUGCCUGAUGGAGGGGGAUAACUACUGGAAACGGUGGCUAAUACCGCAUACAGUCGGAUAACCCAUAUGGGAUUAGCUCGUAGGUAGGGUAAUGGCUUACCUAGGCGACGAUCCCUCGCUGGUUUUAGAGGAUGAUCAGCCACACUGGGACUGAGACACGGCCCAGACUCCUACGGAGGCAGCAGUGGGGAAUAUUGCACAAUGGGCGCAAGCCUGAGGCAGCAAUGCCGCGUGUAUGAAGAAGGCCCUAGGGUUGUAAAGUACUUUCAGUCGGGAGGCGUUACCGACAGAAGAAGCACCGGCUAACUCCGUGCCAGCAGCCGCGGUAAUAC